RNAcentral lists this ribosomal RNA (445 nucleotides) under uncultured bacterium. RNAcentral's name for it is "bacterial SSU rRNA". It matches the Rfam family "Bacterial small subunit ribosomal RNA", at positions 337 to 796 of the family's 1533-position model. The record is from RNAcentral.
UCCUACGGGAGGCAGCAGUGGGGAAUAUUGGACAAUGGGCCACAAGUCUGAUCCAGCAAUUCUGUGUGCACGAUGACGUUUUUCGGAAUGUAAAGUGCUUUCAGUCGGGAAGAAGUCAGUGACGGUACCGACAGAAGAAGCGACGGCUAAAUACGUGCCAGCAGCCGCGGUAAUACGUAUGUCGCAAGCGUUAUCCGGAUUUAUUGGGCGUAAAGCGCGUCUAGGCGGCAAGGAAAGUCUGAUGUGAAAACGCGGAGCUCAACUCCGUAUGGCGUUGGAAACUGCCUUACUAGAGUACUGGAGAGGUAGGCGGAACUACAAGUGUAGAGGUGAAAUUCGUAGAUAUUUGUAGGAAUGCCGAUGGGGAAGCCAGCCUACUGGACAGAUACUGACGCUAAAGCGCGAAAGCGUGGGUAGCAAACAGGAUUAGAUACCCUGGUAGUCC